Molecule: long non-coding RNA, 450 nt
Filed under: Helianthus annuus (common sunflower)
Lineage: Eukaryota; Viridiplantae; Streptophyta; Magnoliopsida; Asterales; Asteraceae
Source: RNAcentral
ACUUCUUGCCUUCUUCCAAUCUUCGUCAUAAACAAUCAGAAAAACAUCAAACCCUAGAGAAACUAUUUGCUCUCCUCUCUUAGGCGACGAAGAAACACCCAAAAAUUCGUUCGGCGAUUCCGAUUUCGGCGUCCACAUUUGAAACGGCGAGGACUCCUAGGUUCAAAUCCAGGAGAAAAAACGUUAACAGGUGUUUACAAGGAAAAAAUGGUUGCACAUACCAGAAGCUUGAGCCGGGGGAAGGGGAAGACAAAUUUAGAACCAGAUGUUAUAUGCGUUAGUUCCGGCACGAGGUCCCGGCGUCAGCGCAAUAGUCAUGUCGCUUGUGUGCUCUUUGACUCGACCGAAGAAGAUGUCACGCCCCCACGGGCGAACAUCAAACGGCAGAUAACGAAGCGGAAGCAAACGGACUAUUGUGGCUCCCCGACGAAAAAGAGGAAGAAACACAGA